AGGACGAACGCUGGCGGCGUGCUUAACACAUGCAAGUGGAGCGACGAACCGGGGCUUGCCCCGGGCAGAGCCGCGAACGGGUGAGUAACACGCGGGUAACCCACCCCGAUGACCGGGACAACCCGAGGAAACUCGGGGCUAAUACCGGAUGUGCUCCUUGACCUUGAGGUCAAGGCGUAAAGAUAGCUUCGGCCUUCGCAUCGGGACGGCCCGCGGCCCAUUAGCUUGUUGGUGGGGUAAAGCCUACCAAGGCGACGAUGGGUAGCUGGUCUGAGAGGACGAUCAGCCACACUGGGACCGAGACACGGCCCAGACUCCUACGGGAGGCAGCAGUGGGAAUCUGCGCAAUGCGCGAAAGCGUGACGCAGCAACGCCGCGUGGGGGAAGACGGCCUUCGGGUUGUAAACCCCUUUCAGUUGGACGAAGCUUCGCCGGUGAAUAGCCGGCUGGAGUGACGGUACUUCACAAGAAGCCCGCUAACUACGUGCCAGCAGCCGC
Molecule: ribosomal RNA, 498 nt
Filed under: uncultured soil bacterium
Lineage: Bacteria
Description: bacterial SSU rRNA
Rfam family: Bacterial small subunit ribosomal RNA
Source: RNAcentral